Molecule: ribosomal RNA, 457 nt
Filed under: uncultured bacterium
Lineage: Bacteria
Description: bacterial SSU rRNA
Rfam family: Bacterial small subunit ribosomal RNA
Source: RNAcentral
AGAGUUUGAUCCUGGCUCAGAACGAACGCUGGCGGCACGCCUAACACAUGCAAGUCGAACGAUAAGGUUCCUUCGGGAACUGGACAGUGGCGGACGGGUGAGUAACGCGUGGGAACCUGCCUAUCAGUACGGAACAACAGUUAGAAAUGACUGCUAAUACCGUAUACGCCCCUUGGGGGAAAGAUUCAUCGCUGAUAGAUGGGCCCGCGUUAGAUUAGCUAGAUGGUGAGGUAAUGGCUCACCAUGGCGACGAUCUAUAGCUGGUUUGAGAGGAUGAUCAGCCACACUGGGACUGAGACACGGCCCAGACUCCUACGGGAGGCAGCAGUGGGGAAUAUUAGACAAUGGGGGCAACCCUGAUCCAGCGAUGCCGCGUGUGUGAUGAAGGCCUUAGGGUUGUAAAACACUUUCAGAUGGGAUGAUAAUGACAGUACCAUCAGAAGAAGCUCCGCUAACU